UACAGAGGGGGCAAGCGUUGUUCGGAAUUACUGGGCGUAAAGGGCGCGUAGGCGGCCGUUUGCGUCGGAUGUGAAAGCCCGGGGCUCAACCUCGGAACGGCAUUCGAUACGGGACGGCUGGAGACCGGGAGAGGAGAGUGGAAUAGCCAGUGUAGAGGUGAAAUUCGUAGAUAUUGGCUGGAACACCGGUGGCGAAAGCGGCUCUCUGGCCCGGUUCUGACGCUGAGGCGCGAAAGCGUGGGGAGCAAACAGG
Molecule: ribosomal RNA, 253 nt
Filed under: uncultured bacterium
Lineage: Bacteria
Description: partial 16S ribosomal RNA
Rfam family: Bacterial small subunit ribosomal RNA
Source: RNAcentral